GACGAACGCUGGCGGCGUGCCUAAUACAUGCAAGUCGAACGAACCGCGACUGAGUGCUUGCACUUGGUCAAGGUGAGUGGCGAACGGGUGAGUAACACGUGGGUAACCUACCUCAUAGUGGGGGAUAACAGUCGGAAACGACUGCUAAUACCGCAUAGGACAUGGAAUCACAUGAUUCUGUGAGGAAAGGUGGCGCAAGCUAUCGCUAAGAGAUGGACCCGCGGUGCAUUAGCUAGUUGGUAGGGUAAGGGCCUACCAAGGCGAUGAUGCAUAGCCGACCUGAGAGGGUGAUCGGCCACAUUGGGACUGAGGCACGGCCCAAACUCCUACGGGAGGCAGCAGUAGGGAAUCUUCCGCAAUGGACGCAAGUCUGACGGAGCAACGCCGCGUGAGUGAAGAAGGUCUUCGGAUCGUAAAGCUCUGUUGUUAGAGAAGAACAGCGCAUAGAGUAACUGUUAUGCGUGUGACGGUAUCUAACCAGAAAGCCACGGCUAACUACGUG
RNAcentral lists this ribosomal RNA (502 nucleotides) under uncultured bacterium. RNAcentral's name for it is "partial 16S ribosomal RNA". It matches the Rfam family "Bacterial small subunit ribosomal RNA", at positions 28 to 507 of the family's 1533-position model. The record is from RNAcentral.